RNAcentral lists this transfer RNA (38 nucleotides) under Calathea lutea. RNAcentral describes it as "partial tRNA-Leu". The record is from RNAcentral. Lineage: Eukaryota; Viridiplantae; Streptophyta; Magnoliopsida; Zingiberales; Marantaceae. RNAcentral also lists the same sequence under 3 other names.
AAAAUCCGUUGACUUUAGAAAUCGUGAGGGUUCAAGUC